Molecule: ribosomal RNA, 803 nt
Filed under: uncultured bacterium
Lineage: Bacteria
Description: bacterial SSU rRNA
Rfam family: Bacterial small subunit ribosomal RNA
Source: RNAcentral
AGAGUUUGAUCCUGGCUCAGGAUGAACGCUGGCGGCGUGCUUAACACAUGCAAGUCGAACGGGAAUUACUUUAUUGAAACUUCGGUCGAUUUAAUUUAAUUCUAGUGGCGGACGGGUGAGUAACGCGUGGGUAACCUGCCUUAUACAGGGGGAUAACAGUCAGAAAUGGCUGCUAAUACCGCAUAAGCGCACAGAGCUGCAUGGCUCAGUGUGAAAAACUCCGGUGGUAUAAGAUGGACCCGCGUUGGAUUAGCUUGUUGGUGGGGUAACGGCCCACCAAGGCGACGAUCCAUAGCCGGCCUGAGAGGGUGAACGGCCACAUUGGGACUGAGACACGGCCCAGACUCCUACGGGAGGCAGCAGUGGGGAAUAUUGGGCAAUGGGCGCAAGCCUGACCCAGCAACGCCGCGUGAAGGAAGAAGGCUUUCGGGUUGUAAACUUCUUUUGUCAGGGACGAGUAGAAGACGGUACCUGACGAAUAAGCCACGGCUAACUACGUGCCAGCAGCCGCGGUAAUACGUAGGUGGCAAGCGUUGUCCGGAUUUACUGGGUGUAAAGGGCGUGUAGCCGGGAGGGCAAGUCAGAUGUGAAAUCCACGGGCUCAACUCGUGAACUGCAUUUGAAACUACUCUUCUUGAGUAUCGGAGAGGCAAUCGGAAUUCCUAGUGUAGCGGUGAAAUGCGUAGAUAUUAGGAGGAACACCAGUGGCGAAGGCGGAUUGCUGGACGACAACUGACGGUGAGGCGCGAAAGCGUGGGGAGCAANACAGGAUUAGAUACCCUGGUAGUCCACGCUGUAAACGA